RNAcentral lists this long non-coding RNA (736 nucleotides) under Homo sapiens (human). RNAcentral describes it as "HSALNT0017413". Lineage: Eukaryota; Metazoa; Chordata; Mammalia; Primates; Hominidae. The record is from RNAcentral.
GAUAGUUAAGAAUGUUACUAUAGGUCUUUCAAUAAAUUUUGCUUUUAAGGGAAGUUACUAUUUAUUCCUAAUUAAAUGGGGAGACAAGUCUUUCCAGAGGAACUUCUACUUUACUUUUUACAAUUCCUCCUCUUAUUUCAUAAUUCUUCUUCAAACUUGUUUAAUAUGUUUUGACUUAAUUGCUUUGUUUGUCCUUUUAAGAGAAGUAAUUUUUCUGAAUAAGGUGGAGGAGAGUUAGGAGUUAACUCUGUAAGCAUGGCAGAGACAGGUUUUUGUGUAAAACUUCGACGGUAGGGAAUAAUAUAACAGCCUACAAGAAUAAGUACACCAAUAACAACAGCAAAUGAGGGCAAAGCGGCUGAGAUCUUUGAACUCCCUUUGAACUUUGAGAAUGGUGACUGGAAGAUGACAAUUCAUGUUGUUUUCAGGAAAGAGCUAUGACCGAGAAACCAAGGAACUCACUAUCUUGUCCUCUUGGAUGCCAGCUAUAAAUUGAAUCAAGUUGGACACCGGAAUUUUGACCACUUUCCACCUUUCUAUCGUGGUCAGGUUUCUUCAUGAGAAGAGGAGAUUCGGUCACAGGCAUGUACAGAAGAAGACUGUGUGAAGACACAGAAGAAGUUAUCUACAAACCAACGAGAGAGGCUUCAGAAGAAACCAACAUUGUUGACACCCUGAUCUUGGAUUUCUAGACUCAGGAAUUAUGAGAAAAUAAAUUUUUAUUGUUUAAGCCACC